GAUGAACGCUGGCGGCGUGCCUAAUACAUGCAAGUCGAGCGAACAGACGAGGAGCUUGCUCCUCUGACGUUAGCGGCGGACGGGUGAGUAACACGUGGAUAACCUACCUAUAAGACUGGGAUAACUUCGGGAAACCGGAGCUAAUACCGGAUAAUAUAUUGAACCGCAUGGUUCAAUAGUGAAAGACGGUUUUGCUGUCACUUAUAGAUGGAUCCGCGCCGCAUUAGCUAGUUGGUAAGGUAACGGCUUACCAAGGCGACGAUGCGUAGCCGACCUGAGAGGGUGAUCGGCCACACUGAAACUGAGACACGGUCCAGACUCCUACGGGAGGCAGCAGUAGGGAAUCUUCCGCAAUGGGCGAAAGCCUGACGGAGCAACGCCGCGUGAGUGAUGAAGGUCUUCGGAUCGUAAAACUCUGUUAUUAGGGAAGAACAAAUGUGUAAGUAACUAUGCACGUCUUGACGGUACCUAAUCAGAAAGCCACGGCUAACUACGUG
This 497-nucleotide ribosomal RNA is filed under the name uncultured bacterium. RNAcentral's name for it is "partial 16S ribosomal RNA". It matches the Rfam family "Bacterial small subunit ribosomal RNA", at positions 28 to 507 of the family's 1533-position model. The record is from RNAcentral.